This 75-nucleotide transfer RNA is filed under the name Candidatus Woesearchaeota archaeon. Its description in RNAcentral is "tRNA-Arg". It matches the Rfam family "tRNA". From Rfam's summary of the family: Transfer RNA (tRNA) molecules are approximately 80 nucleotides in length. Their secondary structure includes four short double-helical elements and three loops (D, anti-codon, and T loops). The record is from RNAcentral. Lineage: Archaea; Nanobdellati; Candidatus Woesearchaeota.
GGACCUGUAGCUCAGUUCGGACAGAGCGGCAGCCUUCUAAGCUGAAGGUCGUGGGUUCAAAUCCCAUCAGGUCCG